GCCAGGUGUGGUAGCACACACCUGUAAUACCAGGAGCUUGGGAGGCUGAGGCAGGAGGAUUUCAAGUUCAAAGCCAGCCUCAGCAACGGUGAGGUGCUAAGCAACUCAGUGAGACCCUGUCUCUA
This 125-nucleotide small RNA is filed under the name Marmota monax (woodchuck). The record is from RNAcentral. Lineage: Eukaryota; Metazoa; Chordata; Mammalia; Rodentia; Sciuridae.